CCUACGGGUGGCAGCAGUGGGGAAUAUUGGACAAUGGGGGGAACCCUGAUCCAGCCAUGCCGCGUGUGUGAAGAAGGCCCUCGGGUUGUAAAGCACUUUCAGUGAGGAAGAACGCCUGGAGGUUAAUACCCAUCAGGAAAGACAUCACUCACAGAAGAAGCACCGGCUAACUCCGUGCCAGCAGCCGCGGUAAUACGGAGGGUGCGAGCGUUAAUCGGAAUUACUGGGCGUAAAGCGCGCGUAGGUGGCUUGAUAAGCCGGUUGUGAAAGCCCCGGGCUCAACCUGGGAACGGCAUCCGGAACUGUCAAGCUAGAGUGCAGGAGAGGAAGGUAGAAUUCCCGGUGUAGCGGUGAAAUGCGUAGAGAUCGGGAGGAAUACCAGUGGCGAAGGCGGCCUUCUGGACUGACACUGACACUGAGGUGCGAAAGCGUGGGUAGCAAACAGGAUUAGAUACCCUUGUAGUC
RNAcentral lists this ribosomal RNA (465 nucleotides) under Vreelandella stevensii. Its description in RNAcentral is "partial 16S ribosomal RNA". It matches the Rfam family "Bacterial small subunit ribosomal RNA", at positions 338 to 795 of the family's 1533-position model. Lineage: Bacteria; Pseudomonadati; Pseudomonadota; Gammaproteobacteria; Oceanospirillales; Halomonadaceae. The record is from RNAcentral.